GAUGAACGCUGGCGGCGUGCCUAAUACAUGCAAGUCGAGCGAACGGACGAGAAGCUGGCUUCUCUGAUGUUAGCGGCGGACGGGUGAGUAACAUGUGGAUAACCUACCUAUAAGACUGGUAUAACUUCGGGAAACCGGAGCUAAUACCGGAUAAUAUUUUGAACUGCAUGGUUCAAAAGUGAAAGACGGUCUUGCUGUCACUUAUAGAUGGAUCCGGGCUGCAUUAGCUAGUUGGUAAGGUAACGGCUUACCAAGGCAACGAUGCAUAGCCGACCUGAGAGGGACGUUCAGCACCCUGUCACUGAGACUCGUCCCACACUCCUAGGGGGGGCAGCGGUCGAAACUCUUACGGAAUGCACGAAUGCCUAAUGGUGCGCCACCGCGUGAGUGCUGACGCACCCAGGCUCGUAGAACUCUGUUAUUCGGAGGGAUGAUAUGUGUAAUUACCUGUGAACAUCUUGACGGUACCUAGUCAAAAAGCCCCGGCUAACUUCGUG
This 497-nucleotide ribosomal RNA is filed under the name uncultured bacterium. RNAcentral describes it as "partial 16S ribosomal RNA". It matches the Rfam family "Bacterial small subunit ribosomal RNA", at positions 28 to 507 of the family's 1533-position model. The record is from RNAcentral.